RNAcentral lists this long non-coding RNA (259 nucleotides) under Setaria viridis. RNAcentral describes it as "long non-coding RNA (SVIR_LNC001027)". The record is from RNAcentral. Lineage: Eukaryota; Viridiplantae; Streptophyta; Magnoliopsida; Poales; Poaceae.
AGUACGUCGUCUUGGAUAUCAGGCUCAGUGGAUUUUUGGGGGUAUUUAUAGUUCAGAGAGCGCGUGGCAAAAAUUGGAAGGCGAGGGGGCGAAGGAAACCCAAGGCCAAUUAGCCUGGACCUUUCUUUUGGCCCCUCGCAUCCUGCUUCGUCUCCAAGUCUCCCCUGGUGCUCUGGAAUCUUCUUUUCACUUGCAUGUGGGCCUGGCACGUCGAUAGCUUCAGGAUGAGAUUGAUAUUCAAUGACUUUCCAAAUCUACG